CGCCGUCACAGACGAAGCGCCGCACAGGAGUCGUACCAGCAUCAGCGCCGCUACCUGCACCGCCGCCGCCGCGGCCGCCGCCGCCGCCGGGUCCAGCAGCGCACCCACCGCCGCCAGCAAACCUGGCUCCUUCGCCACUGCCAGCGCGGUCUCCGCUCCGGCACGCGCUGCCGUACACAGCACCGCCAGCAGCGGCAGCACCGCCGCCGGGGCGCGGCGUGACGUCAGCAAGUACCGAAUUCUUUGUAGGAGGCCCAUCUGUAACGCUCCUGUCAAGGGAUCGACGAGGGCGACAUCUUCAGGUGCAUCAGGCUCGUCGUCGUCGUCGGCGGCGGCGGCAGCGGUGGCGGCGGCGGCGGCGGCGGCGGCCUCCCACGACGCGGCGGCCCCGCGGCGGGUUAGGUAUCCACCCGAGGCUGCGGGCCAGCCUGUGGACGGGCUGGCGUCCGCCAUUUCCGCCGCCAGGAGCUCGGCUUCGGAGCGACCCAACUGAAAUUGACAACGGACAACGGACAAUCGACAAGGGAGACAGGUAUGGAGGGAGUUUUACAGCACCGCCGCAGCAGCAAAUUAAACCCAAACGGGAAGCAGUACGGGAACGGGAGUUGCUAGAGACGGACGGCACAGGUGCUGGUGACGGCACCCGGGGGUGACCUCACGAGAGCGCCGAAGGAAGAGGGGGUUGGUAGUGGAGAGAGGUGGGGAAUUGAUAAUUUCUCCUUUCAAUUUUGAUUAUGUUAAAAAAGCCUAAGAAAAGAAAAACAAAGAAAAAAUAAUUUAGGAAAAAGGAAAGAAGACGAAGAAAGAAAAAAAGAAGAAGAGGCAAAGUGUCCACAACCGAAGCCUAAAGAAGUCCAGCCUUUCCCAGCGCUCCCCCCCAGUUGCCGUCACACAGACAUACUGACAGACGCCGAUACACGGUUAUUCACCUACAUAAGGCCCCCCACAUCCACACCCACACAGAUCAUCUCACACCAGAUCUCACCGCAACCCCCCCCCAUCCUCCCCUACCCCCAUCCUCCCCUACACACAUACACACACGCAAAGCGCAAUGAGCACUCACCACCGCCGCCAGCGCCGCCGCCGCCGCCGACAGAACCACGGGUCGGUCGUCAUCCAGCGCAAGUCUCAGGUGCGCCACCAGGCCCAGCU
Molecule: long non-coding RNA, 1152 nt
Filed under: Volvox carteri
Lineage: Eukaryota; Viridiplantae; Chlorophyta; Chlorophyceae; Chlamydomonadales; Volvocaceae
Description: long non-coding RNA (VCAR_LNC002640)
Source: RNAcentral